This 497-nucleotide ribosomal RNA is filed under the name uncultured bacterium. Its description in RNAcentral is "partial 16S ribosomal RNA". It matches the Rfam family "Bacterial small subunit ribosomal RNA", at positions 28 to 507 of the family's 1533-position model. The record is from RNAcentral.
GAUGAACGCUGGCGGUGUGCCUAAUACAUGCAAGUCGAGCGAACAGACGAGGAGCUUACUCCUCUGGCGUUAGCGGCGGACGGGUGAGUAACACGUGGAUAACCUACCUAUAAGACUGGGAUAACUUCGGGAAACCGGAGCUAAUACCGGAUAACAUGUUGAACCGCAUGGUUCAACAGUGAAAGACGGUCUUGCUGUCACUUAUAGAUGGAUCCGCGUCGCAUUAGCUAGUUGGUAAGGUAACGGCUUACCAAGGCAACGAUGCGUAGCCGACCUGAGAGGGUGAUCGGCCACACUGGAACUGAGACACGGUCCAGACUCCUACGGGAGGCAGCAGUAGGGAAUCUUCCGCAAUGGGCGAAAGCCUGACGGGGCAACGCCGCGUGAGUGAAGAAGGUCUUCGGAUCGUAAAACUCUGUUAUUAGGGAAGAACAAAUGUGUAAGUAACUAUGCACGUCUUGACGGUACCUAAUCAGAAAGCCACGGCUAACUACGUG